This 382-nucleotide ribosomal RNA is filed under the name uncultured bacterium. RNAcentral's name for it is "bacterial SSU rRNA". It matches the Rfam family "Bacterial small subunit ribosomal RNA", at positions 362 to 757 of the family's 1533-position model. The record is from RNAcentral.
UAUUGCGCAAUGGGCGAAAGCCUGACGCAGCAACGCCGCGUGGGGGAUGAAGGCCUUCGGGUUGUAAACCUCUUUCAGCAGGGAAGAAGCGAAAGUGACGGUACCUGCAGAAGAAGCACCGGCUAACUACGUGCCAGCAGCCGCGGUAAUACGUAGGGUGCAAGCGUUGUCCGGAUUUAUUGGGCGUAAAGAGCUCGUAGGCGGUUAGUCACGUCGGAUGUGAAAUCCCGGAGCUUAACUCCGGGCCUGCAUUCGAUACGGGCUGACUCGAGUGUUGUAGGGGAGACUGGAACUCCUGGUGUAGCGGUGAAAUGCGCAGAUAUCAGGAAGAACACCGGUGGCGAAGGCGGGUCUCUGGGCAACUACUGACGCUGAGAGCGAA